AACGCUGAGGUGUGAUGACGAGGCACUACGGUGCUGAAGUAACAAAUGCCCUGCUUCCAGGAAAAGCCUCUAAGCAUCAGGUAACAACGAAUCGUACCCCAAACCGACACAGGUGGUCAGGUAGAGAAUACCAAGGCGCUUGAGAGAACUCGGGUGAAGGAACUAGGCAAAAUGGUGCCGUAACUUCGGGAGAAGGCACGCUGAUGGUAGGUGAAGUGACUUGCUCAUGGAGCUGAAAUCAGUCGAAGAUACCAGCUGGCUGCAACUGUUUAUUAAAAACACAGCACUGUGCAAACACGAAAGUGGACGUAUACGGUGUGACGCCUGCCCGGUGCCGGAAGGUUAAUUGAUGGGGUUAUCCGUAAGGAGAAGCUCUUGAUCGAAGCCCCGGUAAACGGCGGCCGUAACUAUAACGGUCCUAAGGUAGCGAAAUUCCUUGUCGGGUAAGUUCCGACCUGCACGAAUGGCGUAAUGAUGGCCAGGCUGUCUCCACCCGAGACUCAGUGAAAUUGAACUCGCUGUGAAGAUGCAGUGUACCCGCGGCAAGACGGAAAGACCCCGUGAACCUUUACUAUAGCUUGACACUGAACAUUGAGCCUUGAUGUGUAGGAUAGGUGGGAGGCUUUGAAGCGUGGACGCCAGUCUGCGUGGAGCCAACCUUGAAAUACCACCCUUUAAUGUUUGAUGUUCUAACGUAGACCCGUGAUCCGGGUUGCGGACAGUGUCUGGUGGGUAGUUUGACUGGGGCGGUCUCCUCCCAAAGAGUAACGGAGGAGCACGAAGGUUAGCUAAUCCUGGUCGGACAUCAGGAGGUUAGUGCAAUGGCAUAAGCUAGCUUGACUGCGAGCGUGACGGCGCGAGCAGGUGCGAAAGCAGGUCAUAGUGAUCCGGUGGUUCUGAAUGGAAGGGCCAUCGCUCAACGGAUAAAAGGUACUCCGGGGAUAACAGGCUGAUACCGCCCAAGAGUUCAUAUCGACGGCGGUGUUUGGCACCUCGAUGUCGGCUCAUCACAUCCUGGGGCUGAAGUAGGUCCCAAGGGUAUGGCUGUUCGCCAUUUAAAGUGGUACGCGAGCUGGGUUUAGAACGUCGUGAGACAGUUCGGUCCCUAUCUGCCGUGGGCGCUGGAGAAUUGAGGGGGGCUGCUCCUAGUACGAGAGGACCGGAGUGGACGCAUCACUGGUGUUCGGGUUGUCAUGCCAAUGGCAUUGCCCGGUAGCUAAAUGCGGAAAAGAUAAGUGCUGAAAGCAUCUAAGCACGAAACUUGCCCCGAGAUGAGUUCUCCCUGACUCCUUGAGAGUCCUGAAGGAACGUUGAAGACGACGACGUUGAUAGGUCGGGUGUGUAAGCGUAGCGAUACGUUGAGCUAACCGAUACUAAUGAACCGUGAGGCUUAACCUU
This 1398-nucleotide ribosomal RNA is filed under the name Klebsiella planticola. Its description in RNAcentral is "partial 23S ribosomal RNA". It matches the Rfam family "Bacterial large subunit ribosomal RNA", at positions 1552 to 2925 of the family's 2925-position model. Lineage: Bacteria; Pseudomonadati; Pseudomonadota; Gammaproteobacteria; Enterobacterales; Enterobacteriaceae. The record is from RNAcentral.